AGUGAGCGCUGGCGGUAGGCCUAACACAUGCAAGUCGAACGGCAGCACAGUAAGAGCUUGCUCUUACGGGUGGCGAGUGGCGGACGGGUGAGGAAUACAUCGGAAUCUACUUUUUCGUGGGGGAUAACGUAGGGAAACUUACGCUAAUACCGCAUACGACCUACGGGUGAAAGCAGGGGAUCUUCGGACCUUGCGCGAUUGAAUGAGCCGAUGUCGGAUUAGCUAGUUGGCGGGGUAAAGGCCCACCAAGGCGACGAUCCGUAGCUGGUCUGAGAGCAUGAUCAGCCACACUGGAACUGAGACACGGUCCAGACUCCUACGGGAGGCAGCAGUGGGGAAUAUUGGACAAUGGGCGCAAGCCUGAUCCAGCCAUACCGCGUGGGUGAAGAAGGCCUUCGGGUUGUAAAGCCCUUUUGUUGGGAAAGAAAAGCAGCAGGUUAAGACCCCGCUGUUCUGACGGUACCCAAAGAAUAAGCACCGGCUAACUGCGU
This 491-nucleotide ribosomal RNA is filed under the name uncultured bacterium. RNAcentral describes it as "partial 16S ribosomal RNA". It matches the Rfam family "Bacterial small subunit ribosomal RNA", at positions 29 to 506 of the family's 1533-position model. The record is from RNAcentral.